CUGUGGUUAAUAUGGCAAUAUUAUCUAUGGUACCUCUACCUUUGCGGAAUCCAAACUGUGUAUUCGAAAGGAGGUUAUGUUUUUCUACAAACCAUUCUAGUCUGUUUUUAGCUAAAUGUUCCGCAAUCUUUAAUAAAACAGAGGAUAGAACAAUGGGGCGAUAUGAUGUAGCCAAAUAUGGGGGUUUGUUGGGUUUUGGUACUGGAAUAACUUUUUGUUUUCUCCAUGAAGUGGGUAAAUUACCAGUUAUUAAAAUUUGGUUUAUUAACUUGAGGUAGUAUUGUAAAAUUUCCUCAUCAGCAUGUUGAAAGAAAGAAUAUGGAAUGCCAUCUAAUCCGGGAGAAGAAUCUUUUAAGUUUUGUACUACCCCUUUUAACUCUUCUAUUGUAAAAAGCGAAUUUAGGUCUUCAAAAUUUACAUUUUGUAAAGGAGGAGGAGGUUCAGUAGAAAUAGUGGGAGGAGCCAAAUUAUCUAGAAACUCAGAAGCUAAAGAGUCAGAUAUAGGAUGCAGCAAUGAUUGAAAAAUCAGAGUGAUGUGAUGGAAGAGGAAUGUGAUGAAAUGAUUGAUGGUGUUUGAUGAGCAUGGCUGUACCACCAUACCCAUCUGAUCUGUCUUCCCUGAGACAAGUGUAGCCAGAAAUCCUGAAAAGUGAUUCCGGCUUGAGCCAUGUCUCUUGUAAGGAAAGAACAAUAGGUGAUGAUGAUGAAGAAGUAGAUGAUAUUAACACGUCAGAAUAUAAUUUUGAAAUGGGAGGAUGUAACUUAGAAGCUUCUGAGUAGGAUAGACAAUUGUGAGCCAUUGACUCCUUAAUUGAUUUUUGGCGUUGGAAUUCUGGGCAUUUUUUAUCAGUUGCAAUGUGCGAACCGUGGCAAAUACAACAGUAAAUAGACUCCUCUUCAACUGAGCAACUAUAACCAGCAUGCCC
Long non-coding RNA from Aricia agestis (brown argus), 926 nucleotides. RefSeq lists it as uncharacterized. NCBI's taxonomy places the organism in Eukaryota, Metazoa, Arthropoda, Insecta, Lepidoptera, Lycaenidae. The record is from RefSeq and is a predicted model, not a curated record. The transcript has 3 exons.